Long non-coding RNA from Daphnia pulex (common water flea), 1110 nucleotides. RefSeq lists it as uncharacterized. The transcript is spliced from 5 exons. NCBI's taxonomy places the organism in Eukaryota, Metazoa, Arthropoda, Branchiopoda, Diplostraca, Daphniidae. The record is from RefSeq and is a predicted model, not a curated record.
AGCAGGCUGCGGCUUCCCAAAUGACAAAUUCGAAGUUUCUUUUUAAAAAAUGCACAUCUGCCGUAGCUCGUAGGUUUUUUCCCAAUUGAAGAACAAGUACCUGAUGAGUGAUUAAGUGAAUUUGGUCAUUCAACUGCAGUUUCAAGUUAAAGUUACUGCUGAAGCUAGGUAUUCUCGGUUUGCUUAUCUUGUUCGUGGCAAUGAUCUUGUGGCCUGAAACAGCUCUACAUCUUUCCAAAAUGUCGUCUCUUGCUGCAUGUACCGGGUGUACGAUUCGUCACAUGCAGAAAUACUUCAGAACAGUUAGUGAUUUUAUUGAUCAAAAUUUUAGCCCUAAGCCUGGUGAAGUCUGAGCUUCUUCAUUGCAGUCUACUGUGCAAAUGGAUUUGUUGCAGCUAGCUGGCGAAAGGUGUUUCUCUUGCAGACUUGCUACCUGUACCAGAUGUAGCUUUUGUCACAUGCAGAAACACUUCAGAACAAUUUAAAGAUUCAAAUGCACAGCCUCCUGAGGUCUGAGCCUCUUUUUUGCAGUCCAUCGUGUAAAUGAAUUUGUUCAGACAGCUAGUGAAUGGUGUGGUGAGCUGUUGCAUGCAGGCUGUGGUGCUGGUGUCAUUCGUUGAUUUAACUAUGGACCGUUCAGUCGUUUGUUUAUCAUUUCAUGAUCGGUUUUGUGUUUGAGCUGUUUAUGUAUGCUGCAUGGGGAUGGGGUACAGUGGUUAUGCAGUCAUUUUCCAGUUGAGAGAUGCGCUGAAAUGAAGCUCGUGCAGACUUGCAGUUGAAAAUCAUUCUUUAAAGUUUAAAGUGUCGUUUGCCCAUGUUGGUGUCCAUUCAGUAUAUUCAGUGUUGUGAAAAAUAGUCGAUGUUGCCUGAUGGCUGCCGGGCUUAUUUUAUCGGCAGCAUUUUGUCGAUAUGUCGUCUCUUGCUACCUCUAUCGCCGUUGAGUUGAUUCGUUUGCCGCCGUUCCUUAGACUUGAUCCACCGUUGAAACUAAGAAGACGUUGCUGAAAUUCAAGAUUGAUUAAUAAGUUAUGUAUAUAAAUUACAAGUGCAUAAUCUGGGCUCCCUUCUUCAGUGGCCCCGUUUCCCUAAAUAACCACUAACCAACGCCCG